This 756-nucleotide ribosomal RNA is filed under the name Triticum aestivum (bread wheat). Its description in RNAcentral is "partial small subunit ribosomal RNA". Lineage: Eukaryota; Viridiplantae; Streptophyta; Magnoliopsida; Poales; Poaceae. The record is from RNAcentral.
AUGUCGAGCUCCGGCAGCGCGGCGUUUGGCGGCGGAUCUGGCGAUGACGACCCCGUCGAUUGGGAGUCGCUGCAGCGCGGCGAGGGCAAUGAGGAGCUCGCCCUCCACAUUGUGUUGCAGCGGUCCCGGGUGGACAGGGGCGGCUCCUCCUCCAUGCAGUCCCCAGUCGCCUGGCAACGCAGCGCGGACGCCGACACCCGUCCCCAGCUCCCCACCGCCCUCCCCCCGGCGCCCCUCUGCAACCGCUCAUCUCCGUGCUCUUACCAACAAAAACAAGCAGCCGGUGACUUCAAGGAUGAUGGAAGCUCCUUCAUGUGCUCCCGGCUCUACAUCGCCACGUUCCAGGGGCGCCCGCAGGAGGUCGCCGGCCUCCUGGCGGGAAGAAGCGGCGACGCACCGCCGGCAGCGCACUCCAAAGGUAUCGCGGUUGUUGAUCACCAUGGGCGACCAUGUACGACCCAGGAGGUCACCGGAGAGGGGAACACGCUCCUGCACAUCGCCGCCGGGCAGGGCCACGGAGGGCUCAUCGCCGAGGUGUGCUACCACGACAGCUCCCUCCUGUCCUCCGUGAACCGGGCGCUGGACACGCCGCUGCACAGCGCCGCGAGGGCCGGCCACGCGGACGCCGCGGAGGCCGUCGUCCGGCUGGCGCGGGCGAACGUGGAGGAGGACGCGCUCCGCGGGAUCCUCCGCGGCAGGAACGACGCCGGGGACACGGCGCUGCACCUGGCCGCGAGGCGGUGGAGAGGCUCAUGA